CUCUCAUCAAGAGAGGUUGAGGGAAACGGCCCUAUGAAGCCCGGCAACCCCCCUGCAACGUUGCAGGAAGGGUGCCAAUUCCGGCGGAGCGAUCCGCAAGAUGAGGG
Ktedonobacter sp. 13_2_20CM_53_11 is the source of this 107-nucleotide non-coding RNA. The record is from Rfam. Lineage: Bacteria; Bacillati; Chloroflexota; Ktedonobacteria; Ktedonobacterales; Ktedonobacteraceae.